Molecule: ribosomal RNA, 97 nt
Filed under: Alloalcanivorax xenomutans
Lineage: Bacteria; Pseudomonadati; Pseudomonadota; Gammaproteobacteria; Oceanospirillales; Alcanivoracaceae
Source: RNAcentral
UGCCUGACGACUAUAGCGAGUGGGAACCACCUGAUCCCUUGCCGAACUCAGAAGUGAAACCGCUCAGCGCCGAUGGUAGUGUGGGGCUUCCCCAUGU